Molecule: non-coding RNA, 23 nt
Filed under: Rattus norvegicus (Norway rat)
Lineage: Eukaryota; Metazoa; Chordata; Mammalia; Rodentia; Muridae
Source: RNAcentral
AAGUAGAAGAGGAGGUGGAAAGU